RNAcentral lists this ribosomal RNA (483 nucleotides) under Pandoraea sp. HE19B. Its description in RNAcentral is "bacterial SSU rRNA". It matches the Rfam family "Bacterial small subunit ribosomal RNA", at positions 37 to 514 of the family's 1533-position model. Lineage: Bacteria; Pseudomonadati; Pseudomonadota; Betaproteobacteria; Burkholderiales; Burkholderiaceae. The record is from RNAcentral.
AUUGGGGGCUGCCUUACCAUGCAGUCGAACGGCAGCACGGGUGCUUGCACCUGGUGGCGAGUGGCGAACGGGUGAGUAAUACAUCGGAAUGUACCUUGUAGUGGGGGAUAGCUCGGCGAAAGCCGGAUUAAUACCGCAUACGCUCUGAGGAGGAAAGCGGGGGACCUUCGGGCCUCGUGCUACAAGAGCAGCCGAUGUCAGAUUAGCUAGUUGGUGGGGUAAAAGCUCACCAAGGCGACGAUCUGUAGCUGGUCUGAGAGGACGACCAGCCACACUGGGACUGAGACACGGCCCAGACUCCUACGGGAGGCAGCAGUGGGGAAUUUUGGACAAUGGGCGAAAGCCUGAUCCAGCAAUGCCGCGUGUGUGAAGAAGGCCUUCGGGUUGUAAAGCACUUUUGUCCGGAAAGAAAUCCUUUGGGUUAAUACCUCGGGGGGAUGACGGUACCGGAAGAAUAAGCACCGGCUAACUACGUGCCAGACC